Molecule: non-coding RNA, 101 nt
Organism: Nitrosospira sp. NpAV
Lineage: Bacteria; Pseudomonadati; Pseudomonadota; Betaproteobacteria; Nitrosomonadales; Nitrosomonadaceae
Source: Rfam
GGGCAAGAUGUGUAAUGUAGGCCUACGCACUGCGCGCUACGCCUCUCCAUUACUCCCCUUAUUCGCCUUCGGCUCAACGGGGAAUCUUGCUCUGCGAGGCU